GCACACCCCUGGCUGCCAUGUGAGAAGCUCUCUGGUCUUAGCAGCAGGCCGGCUUCCAGCUCCCGGGCUGCCCAUAUUCUCGGAAGAGUCACAUACUUGCUCCGACUCCCAGGCCACAGGCCUCACUUAACCUGUGGACGCUUUCCUUCUUUUUCUUCGUGAAGUUUAUUCUAUGUAUUUCAUGAGACAGAGCAUACACUCAGGAGAGAGACAGGACCCCCAACAGGGUCUCAUCACAGGGGGAGCCCCUUCGUCCAGCCCUCCCACUAGGCAGCGUCCUGGGACUUGCCAGACCUGUUUCAAGUUGACUCGGGGUCUGAACCCGCGCUCAGCUGUGCGGCCUGCAGCACGGUAGACUGGAAUGCGACCACCUGUGCCACUGCGGCUGAGUCUGUACGCUCCCUCGAGGCAUCGCACCCCCACUGGCUCCAUGGUGAGCGAGUAGUUACUGAGUAACCACCAGACGCCUGGCUCUGCGCUGGAUUCCACAAACCACCCAGCAAUGGAAGAUGCAGUUCCUCAGCCCAAGGAGCUUAACAUGGGAGAGAAAACUAGCAGAGAAGCAAGAAGACAGAGAAUGAAUGCAAGCCAGUGUCUCCAGCCGGGUACUGAUGCCCUAUCUUCCCCCAGCCUU
Tupaia belangeri chinensis (Chinese tree shrew) is the source of this 634-nucleotide long non-coding RNA. RefSeq lists it as uncharacterized. Lineage: Eukaryota; Metazoa; Chordata; Mammalia; Scandentia; Tupaiidae. The record is from RefSeq and is a predicted model, not a curated record. The transcript is spliced from 3 exons.